GCCGGGCACAGUGGUGGGCGCCUGUAAUCCCAGCUACUUGGGAGGCUGAGGCAGGAGAAUCGCUUGAACCCGGGAGGUGGAGGUUGCAGUGAGCCAAGAUUGCACCACUGCACUCUAGCCUGGGUGACAGAGCAAGACUCUGUCUCAA
This 148-nucleotide non-coding RNA is filed under the name Pan troglodytes (chimpanzee). Lineage: Eukaryota; Metazoa; Chordata; Mammalia; Primates; Hominidae. The record is from Rfam by way of RNAcentral.